RNAcentral lists this ribosomal RNA (497 nucleotides) under uncultured bacterium. Its description in RNAcentral is "partial 16S ribosomal RNA". It matches the Rfam family "Bacterial small subunit ribosomal RNA", at positions 28 to 507 of the family's 1533-position model. The record is from RNAcentral.
GAUGAACGCUGGCGGCGUGCCUAAUACAUGCAAGUCGAGCGAACAGAUGGGGAGCUUGCUCCUCUGACGUUAGCGGCGGACGGGUGAGUAACACGUGGAUAACCUACCUAUAAGACUGGGAUAACUUCGGGAAACCGGAGCUAAUACCGGAUAAUAUAUUGAACCGCAUGGUUCAAUAGUGAAAGACGGUUUUGCUGUCACUUAUAGAUGGAUCCGCGCCGCAUUAGCUAGUUGGUAAGGUAACGGCUUACCGAGGCAACGAUGCGUAGCCGACCUGAGAGGGUGAUCGGCCACACUGGAACUGAGACACGGUCCAGACUCCUACGGGAGGCAGCAGUAGGGAAUCUUCCGCAAUGGGCGAAAGCCUGACGGAGCAACGCCGCGUGAGUGAUGAAGGUCUUCGGAUCGUAAAACUCUGUUAUUAGGGAAGAACAAAUGUGUAAGUAACUAUGCACGUCUUGACGGUACCUAAUCAGAAAGCCACGGCUAACUACGUG